UGCGCAUAUAAACGCAAGCUACACAAAAGUGACAUGGACAAGAACAGCGCAAGCCCUUUACAUGCAGUGGAGCCGCCGUAUCUCGCCGUUAAAGAUAUGCGUACUCGUAAGUGGCAUUUUAAUUUCACGUUGUGUAAUGCAUGACUGUCUUUUUCAAGUGAACAAAGGUCGCUUUGUAUUGUGUAAAUGGUUUUGCAACGUGUGAUAAACUCCUUGUCUUUCGGGCUUAUUUUUUCUGACAGGAAGAAAAAAAAAGAGGCUUUACAUGAGAACGGAUCAAGCGUUCGAGAGUUGGGACAGGGAAAUGAAACACUGGAACGACACAGCUUAAAUUGAAGAACAGUGUGCGAAUGACCUGCUACGCUCGGAACUGUUAUCACCAUUCGGGAAGAAAUUGGAUGAAAAAACAUAACUGUAAAUACCUGUAUGAUAUACGUCUGGUGCAUUGCAGGAU
This 454-nucleotide long non-coding RNA is filed under the name Dermacentor andersoni. RNAcentral describes it as "uncharacterized LOC126520833". Lineage: Eukaryota; Metazoa; Arthropoda; Arachnida; Ixodida; Ixodidae. The record is from RNAcentral.